UGGGCUUGACAUACACCAGACCGGGCCAGAGAUGGUCUUUCCCUUUGUGGUUGGUGUACAGGUGGUGCAUGGUUGUCGUCAGCUCGUGUCGUGAGAUGUUGGGUUAAGUCCCGCAACGAGCGCAACCCUUGUCUUAUGUUGCCAGCACGUGAUGGUGGGGACUCAUGAGAGACUGCCGGGGUUAACUCGGAGGAAGGUGGGGAUGACGUCAAAUCAUCAUGCCCCUUAUGUCCAGGG
Molecule: ribosomal RNA, 237 nt
Filed under: uncultured bacterium
Lineage: Bacteria
Description: partial 16S ribosomal RNA
Rfam family: Bacterial small subunit ribosomal RNA
Source: RNAcentral